GACAGAGGUGCCAAGCGUUAGGCGGAAUCACUGGGCUUAAAGCGUGUGUAGGCGGAUGUCUAAGUACCUUGUGAAAUCCCACGGCUCAACCGUGGAACUGCUUGGUAUACUGGAUGUCUUGAGCCAUCUAGGGGCUACCGGAACAAAUGGUGGAGCGGUGAAAUGCGUAGAUAUCAUUUGGAACGCCAAUGGUGAAAACAGGUAGCUGGGGAUGUGCUGACGCUGAGACACGAAAGCCAGGGGAGCGAACGGG
RNAcentral lists this ribosomal RNA (253 nucleotides) under uncultured bacterium. Its description in RNAcentral is "partial 16S ribosomal RNA". It matches the Rfam family "Bacterial small subunit ribosomal RNA", at positions 524 to 776 of the family's 1533-position model. The record is from RNAcentral.